AGGAAUGCUAGCUAGGCUGAGUGUCUGAGCAAAUGUGGACAGCCAAAGGGAGCCUUGGCCAAAACUCUUCUCUCCUCUGUCUCCAGGAAUUGGAAGUGUCCCACUGAGGUGUCACCAUGAGACCCACCCAUCGGAGCCAGGCUUUGAAGGAACUGACCGCAGUGUGCAUGAGGAAGUACUUCACGGUGAUGACCCUCGCCACCCUCUCAGGAAAACACAGUGACCUCUCCCCCAACAUCCCCUUCCCACUCCCAGGUCCCCCGGCAAAGGCAGAAGAACCAAGCAAGCCUUUCCACCAAAGCAGCCAUGAACCCCAUUCUCAUCCUUUCCAAGAACUCUCUGCUAUACCAGAUAGGGGUUUGGGGUUCUGUUUUCCAUUUUUUAAAAAAAUCAUUUCAAGACUCUUGAACAGUGUGUCGGUUUACACUAUUCUAUCUUCUUAAGCCACCAUAUCAACAUAUUCACUCUGCUUCCUUUCUUUUCAUUUGGCAGAUGCCACACUUUUAAUGGCAGCAAUAAAAGGUGUUUCUAUCAAUGCCAGGUGGGCAGCCCUGACCAUCUAAAGCCUCGGAGAGGGUUAUACCAAGUCUCCUGUACACCUCCGUGCUAGUGACAACAUGUGGGGACCUCUCAUCCCAAAGUUUUGGGACAAAGUCUCCCGUCCCUUAUCAUUUGUUUUCACUGAGGCUAAAUGUAUCUGUUCAGUACAUGGAUAGAUUUUUAAGCUCCUCUCACAAAGUCUUGUGCUUGAGACAAAAUCAGCCCAGGUUCUGCACUUUGUCUAUAUUUCAGCAGCUCUCCUGCUUGAUAUUAAAAAUAGCCUUGUCUAGUCCAUCGAGAUCAGACCCAGGAGACAGGCGCCUGCUAUUCUAAUCUCUGCUUCACAAAUAGCUCUCUAUGGGCUCAAGCAUCUAUCAACACUUCCAGGGGUCUCCAGUUAUAAAACAGGGCCAGGCCUAGUCACCUAUAAAGGUAGGCUCUGCUUAACUCCCCUGAGCUGUCCAUGAGGUUAGCAUGAGGCCUACAACAAUCACAUUUCUACCAUGGACCAGAGACUUCCAAUGGUGACUCAAAACUGAGAAGCAGUUAAGAGCAUCCCCCACACUCAGGGUAUCCUGCAUUUCCCAGGCCAGAACCUACAAAAGGUUCCCUUGAGACUCAAACUCAAGCAGCACUGGUAAACAGGCUGCCCCUCCCCGCUUCUUCCCUCCUCCUGCAAACCACCCCCCAUCCCUCACUUUCACCUCCCUUCCUCCCCAAGCCCAUCUUGUACUCUGUGAAAAACUGUAGUCCCCUCAGUUGCCAAGGGAACCAAGCCUUUUAUUCCAUCCGUGACUAGCUGGUUGGGCUGAGGAGUGGGGCAACAACUGGUACCCAGGCCUUUGGAAGCCCAAGCCCUCCCUUUUUCCCAAAGGGGGAGGGGUGGGCUGCACCCCCCGUUGCCUUUUCACCCAAACCCAGCUGGGUGGGACCGAGCCCUUGGGCUCUCAGGAGCUCCCUGGCUGUGGGCUGGGGAGAUCAGUGCUCCCCAGGCCCUCCUCUGGCCCUGGCCCUUUCCAGAGGACAAUAGCCUUCAUGCAAGGGAAAAUUCCAUCGCCCAGGGUUCAAGUCUCCAAGGAGUUGCUGGGGCCUCUAUUUAGCCUGGAGUGGGCUCUGAGGAGCCGCUGCAGCUGCCCGGCUUGUUUUCCCCCUCGCUGUGUUUUAUUUUUAACCCCUGAGCUGCCAAGGAUUGUUUUUCCCCAACCAGUGCCUGGGAACUAAGGGAGGGAAGAAAUAAGGCUUUGUUCCCUUUGGGGAACUAAUUGGGAAAGACAGGCAGUGUGGCCAGCUUGGCUCUAUUAGGGUGUGGGGCUCCCACCCCUCACUGCACAACAUCUUCACCCCAAUCCAUACCCAGGAGGCUGGGAGUGCAGAAGUGCCCCCCAGGAUGCAACCAGAGGCCCGGGGGCUGGUGGGAACGCAAGUGCAGCUUCAAGACUGCAAAGGCAGCUCAGAGCCACUUUCUUGGGCUCCGAAGAUAUUCAGGAAAUAAGAUGUUGGGAGCUGGAAAUGUCUAUUUUUCCCAUUUCAACCCCCCCCAAACUAACCCCUGCUUUUCUCCUGCUGGUGGUGGUGGUUGUUGUUUUCCAGACCUGCAUAAUGAACUCUAGAAGAAAAGUGAGGGAACUCAAAAAAGUAAGAAACCAGAAAAUAAAGACAUUAUACUUUUAAACACUAGGCUAAUCAAUGGGAAACACCCAGCAACCCCACUUAUAAGUUUACUCCGUAAAAAAUAUUCCUUAUACUCAGAAAUUUAAUUUCAUUGCAAAUCAGCUAGGAAUUAAUGAAAAAUUUCUUCCACGGCCAUUUUAUUUUAAGAUCAAAUGGAUUCCAGAUAGGGACCCAUUAAGAAUCUAAGGACCAUUUUGAUCCCGUCUAGGAACAGAGCAAAUUUCUAAGGAAUCACCCACUUGCAGCAAGCCAGCACAUUCAAGUUAGGGCUGUGGCAUAUGACACCCAGUGCGUUCAAGUAAAGACUGCUCGUCUAUUUACCAAGAAUAUUUGAGAAAAGAAAAUGCCCCUGCCUGGUGGACAAUAGCACAAAGCAUUUCUCUGUACCUGGGCACAUUUGUUCCACUCGAUAAAAGAGGACCCCUGACCCAGGUACACAGGCAGUUGGAGAAGAGGACAACGAUGAACUGAUACAAAGAUGAGAAAACUGAAACAAGGUCACAAACCAGAUGAUCUAAAGGGUAGCCACUACUGCCUCCUAAAGAACCCCAAUCAGGAAUCCCAGAUUAAUUUGCCCAGCAUCCUGUUUGGAAACCACAUGUCCACCCUGCAACUGUACCUGGCUUGUGUCCCACAAGGAGGAAGAUGCAGGGGACUCCGGAAGCUAAGGAGGAGAUUGUGAACUCAGGCACCAAAUCCAACAAGCUCCCCGAGGAACUUACAACAGUCUGUUUUACAGAGAAGUAAAUGUUGCUGAGAGAGAAAAUUGUCAGGCCUCGGUGUUCCAGAGCAAGAGGCAUUCCUUCAUUCCCAGAGAGGCCCUGGGCCUCAGCAAGCAAGCCCGACAAGCCCUCCGCAGCCAGAAUCCAAGCUUCAGGCUGCACCUCCCUCACCGCUGGGCCCUGGACAGUGAGGCUGCUGCUCAGAACCCCUCUCCUCAGAGGGAAAUUCCUCAGGGCUGCCCCACCCGACCCGUUCUAUCAGUCACUCAAGCCCUCUAUCCUCUGUCACAGCCUGGCUCUGUCCCUUCCCAUGCCCCAACCCCCAACCUCCCAGGACCCAGUAUCUCAGGAUUUCUGCCCUCCUCCAGCCCCGAGCAGCCUGGAAGCCAAGUGGCAAGGAUGUAGUCAGCCGGGUGGGCCCUGAGAGCCGGUGGAAUGGUGUCCAUGUUGCAGGAAACAAGGGAAGGUGAGGGGUACAGGGGUGCCUGUGCCAGGCCACCACUCCACAGCUCAUUCUUCUCUGAGGUUAUUCCCCGACCCAUACCCCUCUGGAGCCCACCCCAGCUGCUUCCUCUUCCUAGGGGUCUCCACCUGAUGUUCUGUGACUCCCCUGAAAAUAAACUUUUGAAAGGCA
This is a long non-coding RNA of Homo sapiens (human), 3567 nucleotides long. RefSeq lists it as uncharacterized. NCBI's taxonomy places the organism in Eukaryota, Metazoa, Chordata, Mammalia, Primates, Hominidae. The record is from RefSeq and is a predicted model, not a curated record. The transcript has 4 exons.